GACGAACGCUGGCGGCGUGCUUAACACAUGCAAGUCGAACGGAAAGGCUCCAGCUUGCUGGCGUACUCGAGUGGCGAACGGGUGAGUAACACGUGGGUAAUCUGCCCUGCACUCUGGGAUAAGCCUGGGAAACUGGGUCUAAUACUGGAUAUGACCUUUCUCCUUAUGGGGUUUGGUGGAAAGUUUUUCGGUGUAGGAUGAGCCCGCGGCCUAUCAGCUUGUUGGUGGGGUGAUGGCCUACCAAGGCGACGACGGGUAGCCGGCCUGAGAGGGUGAUCGGCCACAUUGGGACUGAGAUACGGCCCAGACUCCUACGAGAGGCAGCAGUGGGGAAUAUUGCACAAUGGGCGGAAGCCUGAUGCAGCGACGCCGCGUGAGGGAUGACGGCCUUCGGGUUGUAAACCUCUUUCAGCAGGGACGAAGCGUAAGUGACGGUACCUGCAGAAGAAGCACCGGCUAACUAUGUG
This 467-nucleotide ribosomal RNA is filed under the name uncultured bacterium. RNAcentral's name for it is "partial 16S ribosomal RNA". It matches the Rfam family "Bacterial small subunit ribosomal RNA", at positions 28 to 507 of the family's 1533-position model. The record is from RNAcentral.